CCUUACACAUGCAAGUCGAACGGCAGCACGGGAGCAAUCCUGGUGGCGAGUGGCGAACGGGUGAGUAAUAUAUCGGAACGUGCCCAGUCGUGGGGGAUAACGCAGCGAAAGCUGUGCUAAUACCGCAUACGAUCUAUGGAUGAAAGCGGGGGACUCGUAAGGGCCUCGCGCGAUUGGAGCGGCCGAUAUCAGAUUAGCUAGUUGGCGGGGUAAAAGCCCACCAAGGCGACGAUCUGUAGCUGGUCUGAGAGGACGACCAGCCACACUGGAACUGAGACACGGUCCAGACUCCUACGGGAGGCAGCAGUGGGGAAUUUUGGACAAUGGGCGAAAGCCUGAUCCAGCAAUGCCGCGUGCAGGAUGAAGGCCUUCGGGUUGUAAACUGCUUUUGUACGGAACGAAACGCCUCUUCCUAAUACGGGGGGCUAAUGACGGUACCGUAAGAAUAAGCACCGGCUAACUACGUGCCAGCAGCCGCGGUAAUACGUAGGGUGCGAGCGUUAAUCGGAAUUACUGGGCGUAAAGCGUGCGCAGGCGGUUAUAUAAGACAGAUGUGAAAUCCCCGGGCUCAACCUGGGACCUGCAUUUGUGACUGUAUAGCUAGAGUACGGUAGAGGGGGAUGGAAUUCCGCGUGUAGCAGUGAAAUGCGUAGAUAUGCGGAGGAACACCGAUGGCGAAGGCAAUCCCCUGGACCUGUAC
This 700-nucleotide ribosomal RNA is filed under the name uncultured bacterium. RNAcentral describes it as "bacterial SSU rRNA". It matches the Rfam family "Bacterial small subunit ribosomal RNA", at positions 47 to 740 of the family's 1533-position model. The record is from RNAcentral.